Molecule: ribosomal RNA, 605 nt
Filed under: Filobasidium magnum
Lineage: Eukaryota; Fungi; Basidiomycota; Tremellomycetes; Filobasidiales; Filobasidiaceae
Description: eukaryotic LSU rRNA
Rfam family: Eukaryotic large subunit ribosomal RNA
Source: RNAcentral
AAAAAGCGGAGGAAAAGAAACUAACAAGGAUUCCCCUAGUAACGGCGAGUGAAGCGGGAAGAGCUCAAAUUUGAAAUCUGGUGGCCUCAGGUCAUCCGAGUUGUAAUCUAUAGAAGUGUUUUCCGUGCUGGCUCAUGUACAAGUCCCUUGGAACAGGGCGUCAUAGAGGGUGAGAAUCCCGUCCUUGACAUGAACUACCAGUGCUCUGUGAUACAUUUUCAACGAGUCGAGUUGUUUGGGAAUGCAGCUCAAAAUGGGUGGUAAAUUCCAUCUAAAGCUAAAUAUUGGCGAGAGACCGAUAGCGAACAAGUACCGUGAGGGAAAGAUGAAAAGCACUUUGGAAAGAGAGUUAAACAGUAUGUGAAAUUGUUGAAAGGGAAACGAUUGAAGUCAGUCGUGCUCUUUGGAUUCAGCCGGUUCUGCCGGUGUACUUCCUUUGAGUGGGGUCAACAUCAGUUUUGAUCGCUGGAUAAAGGCUGGAGGAACGUAGUACCCUCGGGUAAACUUAUAGCCUCCUGUCACAUACAGUGGUUGGGACUGAGGAACGCAGCACGCCUUUAUGGCCGGGAUUCGUCCACGUACGUGCUAGGAUGUGACUAAUGUCU